Molecule: ribosomal RNA, 905 nt
Filed under: uncultured bacterium
Lineage: Bacteria
Description: bacterial SSU rRNA
Rfam family: Bacterial small subunit ribosomal RNA
Source: RNAcentral
CGGUAAAAUUGCGGGGCUCAACCCCGUACAGCCGUUGAAACUGCCGGGCUCGAGUGGGCGAGAGGUAUGCGGAAUGCGUGGUGUAGCGGUGAAAUGCAUAGAUAUCACGCAGAACCCCGAUUGCGAAGGCAGCAUACCGGUGCACAACUGACACUCAGGCACGAAAGCGUGGGUAUCGAACAGGAUUAGAUACCCUGGUAGUCCACGCAGUAAACGAUGAAUGCUACCUGUUUGGCCAGAUUGAUGGCUGAGCGGGACAGCGAAAGCGUUAAGCAUUCCACCUGGGGAGUACGCCGGCAACGGUGAAACUCAAAGGAAUUGACGGGGGCCCGCACAAGCGGAGGAACAUGUGGUUUAAUUCGAUGAUACGCGAGGAACCUUACCCGGGCUCAAACGCAUACUGACGACAGUUGAAAGAUUGUUUCCCUUCGGGGCAUUAUGCGAGGUGCUGCAUGGUUGUCGUCAGCUCGUGCCGUGAGGUGUCGGCUUAAGUGCCAUAACGAGCGCAACCCCUAUCGACAGUUGCUAACGAGUAGAGUCGAGGACUCUGUCGAGACUGCCGGCGCAAGCUGUGAGGAAGGCGGGGAUGACGUCAAAUCAGCACGGCCCUUACGUCCGGGGCGACACACGUGUUACAAUGGCAGGGACAGCGGGAAGCCACCAAGCGAUUGGGCGCGGAACCCGAAACCCUGUCUCAGUUCGGAUUGGAGUCUGCAACUCGACUCCAUGAAGCUGGAUUCGCUAGUAAUCGCGCAUCAGCCAUGGCGCGGUGAAUACGUUCCCGGGCCUUGUACACACCGCCCGUCAAGCCAUGGGAGUCGGGAGUGCCUGAAGUUCGUGACCGUUUAGGAGCGACCUAGGGCAAGACUGAUGACUGGGGCUAAGUCGUAACAAGGUAACCGUAA